GACAGAGGGGGCAAGCGUUGCUCGGAAUUACUGGGCGUAAAGGGCGCGUAGGCGGGAUGGUAAGUCGGUCGUGAAAUCCCUCGGCUCAACCGAGGAACGUCGAUCGAUACUACCGUUCUUGAGGGUUGCAGAGGAGACUGGAAUUCCCGGUGUAGCGGUGAAAUGUGUAGACAUCAGGAGGAACACCGGUGGUGUAAACGGCUUUCUGGACCAUAACCGACGCUGAGGCGCGAAAGCUAGGGGAGCAAACAGG
RNAcentral lists this ribosomal RNA (253 nucleotides) under uncultured prokaryote. Its description in RNAcentral is "partial 16S ribosomal RNA". It matches the Rfam family "Bacterial small subunit ribosomal RNA", at positions 524 to 776 of the family's 1533-position model. The record is from RNAcentral.